UCUGUGCAAAGGUGUUUAUUUACAAGUGAUUCCGGAACAAAAAACAACAGUACUGCCAUCAACGUCUACCUUAUGGGACAGCUUAAAAACAAUGCUGCCCCAUCCACAGCUCAAUCCAAAAAUGCCUCUCCAUGACUGAAAGAGAGGCUCCUUUUGUAGGGCUAGCCCCUCCCCUCAGAACAAUUAACCCUAAUUAAUUAAUCAAUUAACAAUACAAACCUACAUUUUCCAUGAACUAAACAUACUAAAGGAUAUACAUUGCAACACGGUUUUAACCAAUAUCACAACAUAACAUUUACAACAUUACAUCACUACUGACAAUAUCUUUCAAUAUGCCCAUAUGCAUUAAUGAGCCAUUUGGGACAGGCACUAUAAAGCCAACCCAAUUCCCUUAGCUCGGGUCCUUUUCCAGCAUACCCGGAAGCUACAGAGAUGGAGAGAGAGAACAGAACAAACAAACAAUGCGCUCAUCCACAACCUUGAUAAUGGCUGUGUUUCCCUAGCUGUCUACUGAACAGUAUGUGCGCUGGAUGGCUAUAAGAGCAGGGGCUGUGAGAGAGGGAUUCAGUCUUCUACCCAUGCUGACGCUGUCAUAGCAGUUGCCACGCUCCAGAGAGAAGAGGCUUCCCCUGCUCCUUCUACCGUGCAUAUUAAUGCAGCCUGGAUUGCCUAGCAACCAGCUCAGUGGAGACAAUGAACACCUGACGACAAGAAGUGUUUGUGACAGGGGCCAGAAUGAGAGGGAUUACAGGCUGUAGGUUUGGCAAUAGUUCAAGCCUCUCAUCCAGAUCUCCAUCCCAUCAAUACCUCAGUAGGUGGAGUAUCGACUCUGGCACUAGAGAGUGGCUGUUUGUGUUUAGCCAGUGGAUAAUUUGGUAGUUUGAGACUGCAUGGUAGAUGGAGUCAUCCCUCAUCAAAUCUCUAAAAAUGGCGAAUAAAAGUAUUGACCUGCCAUUGAGAGAAGACUCUGCCUUUACAGCAACUGAAAUAAAACAACAGUUCUAUGAAAAUGUUCAACAAUACACAGUAAUUAACACCUCACUGUUUGAGGUCAACAAUUUGAGAACUCGUACAUUAUCAUAUUUUUUUUAAUAGACACGAACUUGAGAAUGAUUUUAGGGGUCUCCCCAAUGGCUGAUUAUUUGAACACGUCUUUAGGUGCUCUAUGAAAGGCAGAAAUGGAAUCACCAUCUAUAGGAUGCUCCAUAACAAAGCCUGAUAUAGAAUGUGUCCGUUUUGAGACGAUAAACGUGUUAUUACCAGUGUACUUGACACAGUGCCGAGAAUAUAUGCAUGAGUCAAUAUGCAUUAUUAAACUAACCUGUUUGAGCUGCUCUAACACGCUAAACAGAGGGGUUCUCCAUGUUAAUCUACCAGGCAUUCCCUCGUGCUGACUGUGCAUGUAGCAAAAGUUAAAGGGCUACAUUUCAGGUCUCAUUUCAGCGCCAUGUGCAGCGCUUGCAUAUUUCGAAGCUGCGAGGGAAAGGGACUCCUGGUUAUCUCCUUACUGUGCCACUGUACCUGUUCCUGCCUUUCACAAUCUGUCCUCCCUGAAAAAGAGAGUGAAUUUCCCCGCUAAUAUUUCCUUGUAUGGCGUGCAUAUCUAGGUCUCUUCCACUGUCAGAGUAUGUAGGCUAUUAUCCUCCAUUGAAAAUGAUUACAUUACAUGAUUACAUUGAUAAGACUCACCAUCAAUGUCGUAUGUCCCUUAUAGGUUAUAAUAUAAGGUAGAGGGGUAGGUAUAACAGACAAUACCAUUUUUAAUGCUUAUGAUAAGAUAAUAACAUUAAUGUCAUGUUAGUAAACUGUUAUAAAAGCUUAAAGUGAUUAAUAUUGUAUAUGUUAAAUGCAGUGUUGAAUAUAUUCAGCAAGUUUUCAAAGUUGGGAGAGCACUUAAAUGGUGAUAUUUUGACUACUUAUCAUUGUAAUCCUUACCAGUCCCUACCCAAACAGUGUUGUUUGACGGCACAAUUUAAACAUAAUUCUAAACUGUAUUUUGAAUGUUUAUAUUGCCUCAGCAUAAUGUAUUGCUUCAGCUAAUUGAUGAGGAAAUAUCUUUAUUCUCCCUCAAUAUAUAAUUAAUCUGUCACGCCCUGGUCUUAGUAUUUUGUGUUUUCUUUAUUAUUUUGGUUAGGCCAGGGUGUGACAUGGGUUUAUUAUGUGGUGUGUUUAGUCUUGUUUUUUCUUUUGUAGGUAUUGGGAUUGUGGUAUAGUGGGAUUGUGGUAUAGUGGGGUUAUCUAGAAAAGUCUAUGGUUGCCUGAAGUGGUUCUCAAUCAGAGGCAGGUGUUUAUCGUUGUCUCUGAUUGGGAACCAUAUUUAGGCAGCCAUAUUCUUUGAGUGUUUCAUGGGUGAUUGUUCCUUUCUCUGUGUUUGUUUGCACCAGAUAGGCUGUUUAGGUUUUGUAUUGUUUGUGUUUAUUCAUUUAUUAAACAUGUAUCA
This is a long non-coding RNA of Oncorhynchus nerka (sockeye salmon), 2440 nucleotides long. RefSeq lists it as uncharacterized. The record is from RefSeq and is a predicted model, not a curated record. Lineage: Eukaryota; Metazoa; Chordata; Actinopteri; Salmoniformes; Salmonidae. The transcript is spliced from 3 exons.